GAGUAAACCAGAGAUGAAAAAGAUGACUGCUAGAAUCACUAUAACUAGAAGAAGGAUUGGGCUGAUACUGCUGAAAGAAGAAGAUGAUGAUGGCGAUGGUGUAGAAUCAUUUGAUUUUGGAUCAGUGCCACCAUCAAAAGGUAAUGGAUGAACCUUUCUGCUUUUUGAGUGGAAAAAGCUGAAAGAGAUUAGAGAAAGAGAGAAAAGAAAGAAUAUGUUAAGUUGAAGGAGGUGGUUGCAUGGUACCUACCUACCAUUUGAUGCAGAAAAUGAAGGAAGCCAUUAAAAAACUGAGAGAGUCUUUGGCUGGUGAAGAUGGGAUCUUCAGAUUUCCAUUGUUUAUUCUCCACAGAAGUAGAGGAAGAGGGUUAGGAUUUGAUUGGGUUUUUUUAGUGUGAAAGACAAGGUGGGUGAGGCUGAGAUUGGCCAUCAAGGUGGCAGUUGAGCCCUACAGUGAUUGUAACAACCAAAGCUCCAACGCGGCAUGAAGAGACUUGAGAAUUCCAUACAUUUUAACAAAACAACUUCCAAUUUGAAGGCCCAUUUUCUACCAAACUAUCACAAGGUACAACUUUCUUUUCACCUGCUCUCAACAAAUACCUGAUAUUUCAGUCAUUUUCUUUUUCUUGUUUCCUUGUAUAUGUCAAAGAUUUUGGUUAAGAGUUUAGAGAAAAGAAUGGUAGAAAAAGGUGAAGAUGUGUAAAGAAUAUGGAAUGAGUGAGUUUAGAGGUCCACCAUUAAAAUAGAAACUUGAUUACCCACAGGAGCCUGUGUUCUCUUUAUUUAUCAGAAACAAAAAAAAAAA
Long non-coding RNA from Cucumis sativus (cucumber), 805 nucleotides. RefSeq lists it as uncharacterized. The record is from RefSeq and is a predicted model, not a curated record. NCBI's taxonomy places the organism in Eukaryota, Viridiplantae, Streptophyta, Magnoliopsida, Cucurbitales, Cucurbitaceae. The transcript is spliced from 2 exons.